UUCGGCUCAUAGUAAAGCGGCGGACGGGUGAGUAACACGUGGAUAAUCUGCCCUUCGGCGGGGGACAACAGUCCGAAAGGAUUGCUAAUACCGCAUACGUCAGCGAGGUCUUCGGACCUUGUUGGGAAAGAUGGCCUCUUCAUGAAAGCUAUCUCCGAAGGAUGAGUCCGCGUCCCAUCAGCUUGUUGGCGGUGUAAGAGACCACCAAGGCUAAGACGGGUAGCUGGUCUGAGAGGAUGAUCAGCCACACUGGAACUGAGACACGGUCCAGACUCCUACGGGAGGCAGCAGUGGGGAAUAUUGGGCAAUGGGCGCAAGCCUGACCCAGCCAUGCCGCGUGAGUGAUGAAGGCCUUCGGG
RNAcentral lists this ribosomal RNA (359 nucleotides) under uncultured bacterium. RNAcentral's name for it is "bacterial SSU rRNA". It matches the Rfam family "Bacterial small subunit ribosomal RNA", at positions 79 to 422 of the family's 1533-position model. The record is from RNAcentral.